This 253-nucleotide ribosomal RNA is filed under the name uncultured bacterium. RNAcentral's name for it is "partial 16S ribosomal RNA". It matches the Rfam family "Bacterial small subunit ribosomal RNA", at positions 524 to 776 of the family's 1533-position model. The record is from RNAcentral.
UACAGAGGUCCCAAGCGUUGUUCGGAUUCACUGGGCGUAAAGGGUGCGUAGGCGGUCGGGUAAGUCUGAUGUGAAAUCUCACAGCUUAACUGUGAAACUGCAUUGGAUACUAUCCGGCUAGAGGAAUGGAGGGGAGACUGGAGUACUUGGUGUAGCAGUGAAAUGCGUAGAUAUCAAGUGGAACACCAGUGGCGAAGGCGAGUCUCUGGACAUUUCCUGACGCUGAGGCACGAAAGCCAGGGGAGCAAACGGG